This 546-nucleotide ribosomal RNA is filed under the name Salmonella enterica subsp. enterica. RNAcentral's name for it is "bacterial SSU rRNA". It matches the Rfam family "Bacterial small subunit ribosomal RNA", at positions 997 to 1533 of the family's 1533-position model. The record is from RNAcentral. Lineage: Bacteria; Pseudomonadati; Pseudomonadota; Gammaproteobacteria; Enterobacterales; Enterobacteriaceae.
UUUCCAGAGAUGGAUUGGUGCCUUCGGGAACUGUGAGACAGGUGCUGCAUGGCUGUCGUCAGCUCGUGUUGUGAAAUGUUGGGUUAAGUCCCGCAACGAGCGCAACCCUUAUCCUUUGUUGCCAGCGGUCCGGCCGGGAACUCAAAGGAGACUGCCAGUGAUAAACUGGAGGAAGGUGGGGAUGACGUCAAGUCAUCAUGGCCCUUACGACCAGGGCUACACACGUGCUACAAUGGCGCAUACAAAGAGAAGCGACCUCGCGAGAGCAAGCGGACCUCAUAAAGUGCGUCGUAGUCCGGAUUGGAGUCUGCAACUCGACUCCAUGAAGUCGGAAUCGCUAGUAAUCGUGGAUCAGAAUGCCACGGUGAAUACGUUCCCGGGCCUUGUACACACCGCCCGUCACACCAUGGGAGUGGGUUGCAAAAGAAGUAGGUAGCUUAACCUUCGGGAGGGCGCUUACCACUUUGUGAUUCAUGACUGGGGUGAAGUCGUAACAAGGUAACCGUAGGGGAACCUGCGGUUGGAUCACCUCCUUACCUUAAAGAA